Molecule: ribosomal RNA, 1366 nt
Filed under: Candidatus Phytoplasma citri
Lineage: Bacteria; Bacillati; Mycoplasmatota; Mollicutes; Acholeplasmatales; Acholeplasmataceae
Description: bacterial SSU rRNA
Rfam family: Bacterial small subunit ribosomal RNA
Source: RNAcentral
GCUAAGACUGGAUAGGAAGAAAUAAGGCAUCUUUUUUCUUUUAAAAGACCUAGUGAUAGGUAUACUUUAGGAGGGGCUUGCGCCAUAUUAGUUAGUUGGUAGGGUAAUGGCCUACCAAGACGAUGAUGGGUAGCUGGACUGAGAGGUUGAACAGCCACAUUGGGACUGAGACACGGCCCAAACUCCUACGGGAGGCAGCAGUAGGGAAUUUUCGGCAAUGGAGGAAACUCUGACCGAGCAACGCCGCGUGAACGACGAAGUACUUUGGUAUGUAAAGUUCUUUUAUCAAGGAAGAAAAGCAAGUGGUGAACCAUUUGUUUGCCGGUACUUGAUGAAUAAGCCCCGGCUAAUUAUAUGCCAGCAGCCGCGGUAAGACAUAAGGGGCAAGUGUUAUCCGGAAUUAUUGGGCGUAAAGGGUGCGUAGGCGGUCUAGUAAGUCAGUGGUGUAAUGGCAACGCUCAACGUUGUCCGGCUAUUGAAACUGCUAAACUUGAGUUAGAUAGAGGCGAGUGGAAUUCCAUGUGUAGCGGUAAAAUGCGUAAAUAUAUGGAGGAACACCAGAGGCGUAGGCGGCUCGCUGGGUCUUAACUGACGCUGAGGCACGAAAGCGUGGGGAGCAAACAGGAUUAGAUACCCUGGUAGUCCACGCCGUAAACGAUGAGUACUAAGUGUCGGGUUAAACCGGUACUGAAGUUAACACAUUAAGUACUCCGCCUGAGUAGUACGUACGCAAGUAUGAAACUUAAAGGAAUUGACGGGACUCCGCACAAGCGGUGGAUCAUGUUGUUUAAUUCGAAGAUACCCGAAAAACCUUACCAGGUCUUGACAUGUUUUUGCGAAACGGUAGUAAUAUCGUGGAGGUUAUCAGAAACACAGGUGGUGCAUGGUUGUCGUCAGCUCGUGUCGUGAGAUGUUAGGUUAAGUCCUAAAACGAGCGAAACCCUUAUCGUUAGUUGCCAGCACGUUAUGGUGGGGACUUUAACGAGACUGCCAGUGAUAAAUUGGAGGAAGGUGAGGAUCACGUCAAAUCAGCAUGCCCCUUAUGACCUGGGCUACAAACGUGAUACAAUGGCUGUUACAAAGGGUAGCUGAAACGCAAGUUCUUGGCCAAUCCCCAAAAACAGUCUCAGUCCGGAUUGAAGUCUGCAACUCGACUUCAUGAAGUUGGAAUCGCUAGUAAUCGCGAAUCAGCAUGUCGCGGUGAAUACGUUCUCGGGGUUUGUACACACCGCCCGUCAUGAUUUAGCCUUAUUUAACAAAUCAUUGAUUUCAGAAGCUUUAACCAUUUUGUUGUUUACAAAAUUUACUACGUCUGCAUCAUUCCAUUCUUUAGGAGCAGCACUUUCUUCAUUAACAAAUUUUAAUG